This 481-nucleotide ribosomal RNA is filed under the name uncultured bacterium. Its description in RNAcentral is "partial 16S ribosomal RNA". It matches the Rfam family "Bacterial small subunit ribosomal RNA", at positions 28 to 507 of the family's 1533-position model. The record is from RNAcentral.
GAUGAACGCUGGCGGCGUGCUUAACACAUGCAAGUCGAACGAAGCAUUUGCGACAGAUUUUUUCGGAAUGAAGUUGCUUAUGACUGAGUGGCGGACGGGGGAGUAACGCGGGGGUAACCUGCCUUGUACUGGGGGAUAGCAGCUGGGAACGGCUGGUAGUACCGCAUAAGCGCACAAUGCUGCAUGACAUGGAGUGAAAAACUCCGGAGGUAUAAGAUGCACCCGCGUCUGAUUAGCUAGUGGGUGAGAUAACAGCCCACCAAGGCGAAGAUCAGUAGCCGACAUGAGAGGGUGCCCGGCCACAUUGGGACUGAGACACGGCCCAGACUCCUACGGGAGGCAGCAGUGGGGAAUAUUGCACAAUGGAGGAAACUCUGAUGCCGCGACGCCGCGUGAGUGAAGAAGUAAUUCGUUAUGUAAAGCUCUAUCAGCAGGGAAGAUAGUGACGGUACCUGGCUAAGAAGCUCCGGCUAACUCCGUG